Non-coding RNA from Meleagris gallopavo (turkey), 2280 nucleotides. NCBI's taxonomy places the organism in Eukaryota, Metazoa, Chordata, Aves, Galliformes, Phasianidae. The record is from RefSeq and is a predicted model, not a curated record.
UUUUUCUCCUUUCCUCCUUCGUAGGGUCAGUAUAGACCCUCUGACUUGCUGUGUCCAGAGACGUACGUUUGGACCCCUAUUGAGCAAUGUCUCCCACUGCUCGAGCUGUCCAAAUACUCUCGUUUCAACCAGGAUGCAAAAGCAGUUGAUGAAGAUGGUAUUAAGGAACUGGGCAGAGUUAGAGUACUUCACAAGAGAACCAUAAUGCCUUACAGUGUGUAUAAGAAGAGGAGGAAGGGGCCGAGCGAUGAAGCCAGCGUUCAGCAAUAUGCAAGUCUGGUUGGACAGACAUGUUCAGAAAGAAUGUUGCUGUUCAGAAGUUGAGAAACCAUCGAAUGACAUUUUGAUGGCACAGCCAUCAUUGAUUGCACUGCCACUGGAUGAUGUAAUGUAGUUGUGUGUUGGUAUGCCUACUAAAGUAACAGUAUGAAGUACAGGUAUAUAACUAGGAUUGUGUGAAUACAUGGAACUGUGUUUAAAGACAACCCCAAUGAAACUUUUGACAAUACAGCAAGGCUUUAGCAAUAUAAGCUUAGAAAAACGUGCUUGCAGUACAUUUUAAUUAAAUAGCUCUUGCCUUUCUUUGCAUUUUGAAUAAUCUUAAGCAUCUAAGCAAAAUGGAAAACAGGCAUUUUUUCUGCAGACAAAGGUUGGCUAAAUCUCUAUUAAUGAUAAUUAAAUCACAAGUGUUUUCAAAUAGCAGCUUGGCUAUCUGUUAUAUAAAAUUGCCAUUAAAUUUGUACUCACAUUUAUGUGUUCCUAAACUAUUGCAAGAGAAUUGAGAUUUCCUUACUUUCGAAUUGGAAACCUGGCAUGAUUUAAUUAUAUUUCAACACUGUAUUUAAAAACAGGACGAAAUUAUUUUCACUGCACAUUCUUCAGUUGUUUAAUAUAGCAAGUUAGCAUCAGAGCAUCUACUGAGUAUGGAAUCAUAGUCGAUUCUCAGUGGCAGGAGAUGCAGCGCUUUGGAAAACCUUCCCUUUCAGAGACAGAACAGAGUAGUUGCACUAUAAAUUUACCAAAGAGAUGCAACCAAGUGUCACGGAGUUCUGUGAGGUUUUAUGUUGUUGGUUAUUUGUUUUAAGCCUUAUCCUUUAUCUAAAAAGAGUGGAUAUUUUAAUGCACGUCACUGAUGUGAAAUAGAGUUUGGGAUAUUCAGCUUACAGCUCUUCAGUGCACAUUUCAGAACUAUGCUAAAAACAUAUGAGGUACCACUGCUGGUGGUCGUUGCAAUUUUUUCAGCAGAGUUGUAUGGGGAGACUUGCAUAUCCUAUUCCUUGAUUUUUGUGACUGUUCUGCUUAUGCCACAGUGGCCCAUGGUUUAUUAACAUCUUCAAUUUUCUCUUGGAAACAGAAAGAUGUGAUGUGUUAUCAAAAGCACUUUAUUACUGCUAUACUAAUGCUUUCAUUAGUAAACUGCACCCGUAUCAAGUCAUACAGGGGAAAUAAUAUGGUUUUAUGGUUUUAUAUUCAACAACAUUAUAACAAUCCCAGUGUUUGUAAUUUGCUUAUCUGGGGUGACAGGAGCUACUAUUUACCCUAUUUACCUUGAAUCAACCUGAAGUUUCCUGUUAACCUUUGAAGAAGGAGAAUCUUAUUCAAGAAUAUAUGUGUACAUGUUUCUUUUUCCCCAGAAGGAAAUCAAAUUCAACUUUAAUCUCUGAAGGUUAUGUCUUGUGUCAUUUGUGGGCUUGAUUUAAUUUUGAACCCUUGGCCAGUGUCAUUAAUCAUUGAUUUUUAUGUGAAACAGCCACAAGAAUGUAGAGAUUCAAGUGCGUUGGGGAUUUAUUUUUUCCCAUGUCAGUUUGGUCACUGCAGUAUUACAGGUGAUGAGUGCAGGUUCAUCGGUAACUUUAAAAUGUGUUAAUUGCUAUGUAUUGUAUCAAUCUACUGCCACUUUGCAGCAGAAUUGGUUGUUUCUGCCAGCCUUGUACCUGGAUGUACGUGUGUUAUCUGGAACAGCGAGGUUUGUGUGCUGUACAAUCUGUGUCUCCCACAUCUCUCCUAAGCCUACUGCUACGAGACCACUAACUGCUAUUUAUGGCCAUUAUAAGGAGUUGUUUACUGUGGGGAAAAUACCUCUUACCACUUGGUGAAAUGUUGGAACAGCAUAACGUUUUCUGCCUAUACUGUGUGUUGAAAUGUGGUGAUGCCCAUAGAGUUUAAAAAGAAAAUGGAAACCUGUUUGUUUGGUACAAAAUCAGUCAAAAGGCACAAAGAAAAUCCACUAUGACUUUCAAAAUGUUAAAGGUAAUAAAACUCACUUACUGAAGGACUUGC